Molecule: ribosomal RNA, 495 nt
Filed under: uncultured bacterium
Lineage: Bacteria
Description: partial 16S ribosomal RNA
Rfam family: Bacterial small subunit ribosomal RNA
Source: RNAcentral
GACGAACGCUGGCGGCGUGCCUAAUACAUGCCAGUAGAACGCUGAAGGAGGAGCUUGCUCUUCUGGAUGAGUUGCGAACGGGUGAGUAACGCGUAGGUAACCUGCCUGGUAGCGGGGGAUAACUAUUGGAAACGAUAGCUAAUACCGCAUAACAGUAGAUGUUGCAUGACAUUUACUUAAAAGGUGCAAUUGCAUCACUACCAGAUGGACCUGCGUUGUAUUAGCUAGUUGGUGGGGUAACGGCUCACCAAGGCGACGAUACAUAGCCGACCUGAGAGGGUGAUCGGCCACACUGGGACUGAGACACGGCCCAGACUCCUACGGGAGGCAGCAGUAGGGAAUCUUCGGCAAUGGACGGAAGGCUGACCGAGCAACGCCGCGGGAGUGAAGAAGGUUUUCGGAUCGUAAAGCUCUGUUGUAAGAGAAGAACGAGUGUGAGAGUGGAAAGUUCACACUGUGACGGUAUCUUACCAGAAAGGGACGGCUAACUACGUG